GAUGAACGCUAGCGACAGGCUUAACACAUGCAAGUCGAGGGGCAGCGAGGGAGUGCUUGCACUUCUGUCGGCGACCGGCGCACGGGUGAGUAACACGUAUGCAACCUGCCCUUGUCAGGGGGAUAAGCGAGGGAAACCUCGUCUAAUACCGCAUAUAUGAUUUAGAGGCAUCUUUUAAUCAGGAAAGAAUUUAUCGGACAAGGAUGGGCAUGCGGGACAUUAGGUAGUUGGGGGUGUAACGGACCACCAAGCCGACGAUGUCUAGGGGUUCUGAGAGGAAGGUCCCCCANACUGGUACUGAGACACGGACCAGACUCCUACGGGAGGCAGCAGUGAGGAAUAUUGGACAAUGGGGGAAACCCUGAUCCAGCGACGCGCGUGAGUGAAGAAGUAUUUCCGGUAUGUAAAGCUC
RNAcentral lists this ribosomal RNA (412 nucleotides) under uncultured bacterium. RNAcentral's name for it is "bacterial SSU rRNA". It matches the Rfam family "Bacterial small subunit ribosomal RNA", at positions 28 to 433 of the family's 1533-position model. The record is from RNAcentral.